RNAcentral lists this ribosomal RNA (460 nucleotides) under uncultured bacterium. Its description in RNAcentral is "partial 16S ribosomal RNA". It matches the Rfam family "Bacterial small subunit ribosomal RNA", at positions 338 to 795 of the family's 1533-position model. The record is from RNAcentral.
CCUACGGGAGGCAGCAGUGAGGAAUAUUGGUCAAUGGGCGCUAGCCUGAACCAGCCAAGUAGCGUGAAGGAUGACUGCCCUAUGGGUUGUAAACUUCUUUUAGAUGGGAAUAAAGUGCAGCAUGUAUACUGCUUUGCAUGUACCUUAUGAAUAAGGAUCGGCUAACUCCGUGCCAGAAGCCGCGGUAAUAUGGAGGAUCCGAGCGUUAUCCGGAUUUUUUGGGUUUAAAGGGAGCGUAGGCGGGUUGUUAAGUCAGUUGUGAAAGUGUGCGGCUCAACCGUAAAAUUGCAGGUGAUACUGGCGUCCUUGAGUACAGUAGAGGUAGGCGGAAUUCGUGGUGUAGCGGUGAAAUGCUUAGAUAUCACGAAGAACUCCGAUUGCGAAGGCAGGCGGCUGGACUGUAACUGACGCUGAUGCUCGAAAGUGUGGGUAUCAAACAGGAUUAGAUACCCGAGUAGUC